Molecule: transfer RNA, 74 nt
Filed under: Amoebophilaceae bacterium
Lineage: Bacteria; Pseudomonadati; Bacteroidota; Cytophagia; Cytophagales; Amoebophilaceae
Description: tRNA-Val
Rfam family: tRNA
About the family: Transfer RNA (tRNA) molecules are approximately 80 nucleotides in length. Their secondary structure includes four short double-helical elements and three loops (D, anti-codon, and T loops). Further hydrogen bonds mediate the characteristic L-shaped molecular structure. tRNAs have two regions of fundamental functional importance: the anti-codon, which is responsible for specific mRNA codon recognition, and the 3' end, to which the tRNAs corresponding amino acid is attached (by aminoacyl-tRNA synthetases). tRNAs cope with the degeneracy of the genetic code in two manners: having more than one tRNA (with a specific anti-codon) for a particular amino acid; and 'wobble' base-pairing, i.e. permitting non-standard base-pairing at the 3rd anti-codon position.
Source: RNAcentral
GGGUGGUUAGCUCAGUUGGCUAGAGCAUUCCGUUGACAUCGGAAAGGUCGUUGGUUCGAAUCCAAUGCUACCCA